UAAAGUUGCCAGGAAGCAGGCACAAG
RNAcentral lists this non-coding RNA (26 nucleotides) under Mus musculus (house mouse). The record is from RNAcentral. Lineage: Eukaryota; Metazoa; Chordata; Mammalia; Rodentia; Muridae.